AGCAACAAAUGCCCUGCUUCCAGGAAAAGCCUCUAAGCAUCAGGUAACAUCAAAUCGUACCCCAAACCGACACAGGUGGUCAGGUAGAGAAUACCAAGGCGCUUGAGAGAACUCGGGUGAAGGAACUAGGCAAAAUGGUGCCGUAACUUCGGGAGAAGGCACGCUGACACGUAGGUGAAGUGAUUUACUCAUGGAGCUGAAGUCAGUCGAAGAUACCAGCUGGCUGCAACUGUUUAUUAAAAACACAGCACUGUGCAAACACGAAAGUGGACGUAUACGGUGUGACGCCUGCCCGGUGCCGGAAGGUUAAUUGAUGGGGUCAGCGCAAGCGAAGCUCCUGAUCGAAGCCCCGGUAAACGGCGGCCGUAACUAUAACGGUCCUAAGGUAGCGAAAUUCCUUGUCGGGUAAGUUCCGACCUGCACGAAUGGCGUAAUGAUGGCCAGGCUGUCUCCACCCGAGACUCAGUGAAAUUGAACUCGCUGUGAAGAUGCAGUGUACCCGCGGCAAGACGGAAAGACCCCGUGAACCUUUACUAUAGCUUGACACUGAACAUUGAGCCUUGAUGUGUAGGAUAGGUGGGAGGCUUUGAAGUGUGGACGCCAGUCUGCAUGGAGCCGACCUUGAAAUACCACCCUUUAAUGUUUGAUGUUCUAACGUGGACCCGUAAUCCGGGUUGCGGACAGUGUCUGGUGGGUAGUUUGACUGGGGCGGUCUCCUCCUAAAGAGUAACGGAGGAGCACGAAGGUUGGCUAAUCCUGGUCGGACAUCAGGAGGUUAGUGCAAUGGCAUAAGCCAGCUUGACUGCGAGCGUGACGGCGCGAGCAGGUGCGAAAGCAGGUCAUAGUGAUCCGGUGGUUCUGAAUGGAAGGGCCAUCGCUCAACGGAUAAAAGGUACUCCGGGGAUAACAGGCUGAUACCGCCCAAGAGUUCAUAUCGACGGCGGUGUUUGGCACCUCGAUGUCGGCUCAUCACAUCCUGGGGCUGAAGUAGGUCCCAAGGGUAUGGCUGUUCGCCAUUUAAAGUGGUACGCGAGCUGGGUUUAGAACGUCGUGAGACAGUUCGGUCCCUAUCUGCCGUGGGCGCUGGAGAACUGAGGGGGGCUGCUCCUAGUACGAGAGGACCGGAGUGGACGCAUCACUGGUGUUCGGGUUGUCAUGCCAAUGGCACUGCCCGGUAGCUAAAUGCGGAAGAGAUAAGUGCUGAAAGCAUCUAAGCACGAAACUUGCCCCGAGAUGAGUUCUCCCUGAGACUUAGAGUCUCCUGAAGGAACGUUGAAGACGACGACGUUGAUAGGCCGGGUGUGUAAGCGCAGCGAUGCGUUGAGCUAACCGGUACUAAUGAACCGUGAGGCUUAACCUUACA
RNAcentral lists this ribosomal RNA (1363 nucleotides) under Salmonella enterica. RNAcentral describes it as "partial 23S ribosomal RNA". It matches the Rfam family "Bacterial large subunit ribosomal RNA", at positions 1589 to 2925 of the family's 2925-position model. Lineage: Bacteria; Pseudomonadati; Pseudomonadota; Gammaproteobacteria; Enterobacterales; Enterobacteriaceae. The record is from RNAcentral. RNAcentral also lists the same sequence under 6 other names.